This 453-nucleotide long non-coding RNA is filed under the name Gallus gallus (chicken). RNAcentral's name for it is "lncRNA (ENSGALG00010028217.1)". Lineage: Eukaryota; Metazoa; Chordata; Aves; Galliformes; Phasianidae. The record is from RNAcentral.
GUACUUGUGCAGUUUUGUAAGGACUACUGUGGAAAAUCUGCUCCUUCCCGGAAGGAGAUCGCGGCAGUUUUGUCGCUAUUAAAUGAGCUGGGGGAGCUGGACUCUCCCCGCUACGUUUUGGAUUCGAGUAGGUGGGACUUGCUCACCUCGGUGCUAUGCCAGCGCGCCAUGGCCAGUCAGAAGGCUACGGAACUUAAAACGUGGGGACUGAUAUUAGGAGCCCUUAAAGCGGCCAGAGUUGAGGGAAAGGUAUUGGUGGAGGCUCGAUACCUUUUGGGUCUCAGCGGAGGAGACCGAAGCCAACUCCAGAACAACUGAGGGACAGACGAUGGGAUCAAGAACCACUCGUCAAGAGGAGCACUACACCUGCAACGCUGACACUUCCAAUGUUGCUGAUAUUUAUGGUGUCCAUGGCGAUUACAGAGUGUCACAAACAACUACAAUGGACGCAAG